AGCUUUGUGCGGUGGCAGGAUCGUAGCCAAUGAGGGUUAUCCGAAGCACAAUUAUUGCUAAUUGAAAGAUCGUUUAGUCCAAUCCCUUCACUUACCAUAUGGAAAGAGAGGCA
RNAcentral lists this small nuclear RNA (113 nucleotides) under Panthera tigris altaica (Amur tiger). RNAcentral's name for it is "U4 spliceosomal RNA (ENSPTIG00000000998.1)". It matches the Rfam family "U4 spliceosomal RNA", at positions 1 to 116 of the family's 138-position model. Rfam says of the family: U4 small nuclear RNA (U4 snRNA) is a component of the major U2-dependent spliceosome. The structure of U4 snRNA from yeast and human has been reported. The record is from RNAcentral. Lineage: Eukaryota; Metazoa; Chordata; Mammalia; Carnivora; Felidae.